RNAcentral lists this ribosomal RNA (253 nucleotides) under uncultured bacterium. Its description in RNAcentral is "partial 16S ribosomal RNA". It matches the Rfam family "Bacterial small subunit ribosomal RNA", at positions 524 to 776 of the family's 1533-position model. The record is from RNAcentral.
GACAGAGGGGGCAAGCGUUGCUCGGAAUCACUGGGCGUAAAGGGCGCGUAGGCGGGAUGGCAAGUCAGUCGUGAAAUCUCUCGGCUCAACCGAGAAACGUCGGCUGAUACUGCCGUUCUUGAGGGAUGCAGAGGAGACUGGAAUUCCCGGUGUAGCGGUGAAAUGUGUAGAGAUCGGGAGGAACACCAGUGGCGAAGGCGACUCUUUGGCCUGUAACUGACACUGAGGCGCGAAAGCGUGGGGAGCAAACAGG